GUGGAUGAAGAAUAAUACCAUGCACCGUCAGUACCAUCUAUAAGCUUUGUAACUCUAUUUUCUUUCAUCUCUCCAUUCAAUUGUUUUUGUUCACAGAUUAAUUAAACACAAAAUUCACAACUACUUCUAUAAUUUGUUAUUUCUUAUGAAAACUUCAAUCUUCAGCACAGGUAAAACUAACAUAUACAAGACCAAUUUUUACCAAAUAAAAAAUACAAGACCAAAGUCAAAUACAAAGCUUCACAAAACAAAUACAGGAAAUAAAUAAAAAUGGCACCCCAAAAGAACCAAGACAAAGAUGAUUCCAAAGCUAAUAGGAAGGCCAGCACCAGAAAAUCAAAAAGCACGAUGAAUGCAGAUGAAUGAGAGAAAUGAUGGGAAGAGAAAGAGAGAAAAGCAUAAGGUACUGAUGGUGCAUGGUAUUAUUCUUCAUCCAACGGUUCAGGCAGCUUGCCCACGGUGGGAGACCUAAUCCACUCACCCACCCUAGAAUCCGCCAUAAGUUGGUCUCUCACGCUAGCCUCCCCCAUCAAUUGAUAGUAUUUCUAAUAUUAAAUUUGAGUUUCAUUUAGCAUGGGUAAACUUGAAGAGUUUUAAAUUAUUAUAUAUUGAUUAGGAUAU
This 621-nucleotide long non-coding RNA is filed under the name Trifolium pratense (red clover). RNAcentral's name for it is "long non-coding RNA (TPRA_LNC006033)". The record is from RNAcentral. Lineage: Eukaryota; Viridiplantae; Streptophyta; Magnoliopsida; Fabales; Fabaceae.